RNAcentral lists this long non-coding RNA (1046 nucleotides) under Heterocephalus glaber (naked mole-rat). Its description in RNAcentral is "lncRNA (ENSHGLG00000038200.1)". The record is from RNAcentral. Lineage: Eukaryota; Metazoa; Chordata; Mammalia; Rodentia; Bathyergidae.
ACCUUAGUACCCUUGUAGAUAAACAGGUACAAUCCCCAGCAAUCCCCUCUCCUGCAGGAGGACAUAGCAGGCUGACCAGAGUAUUCAUGUAGAUGAAGAAGUCUAUUCCUCUGCCCUACAGGAGAACAUCAGCAGGCUUACCUUAGUACUCUUGUAGAUAAAGGGUUCCAUUGCCCUGUCCUGCAAGAGGAUAGCAGCAGACCGACAAUCCCCAACAAUCCCACCUCCUGCACGAGGAAAUCAGCAGGCUUACCUUAGUAUCCUUGUAGAUCAACAGGCCCAUUGCCCUGUCCUACAUGAGGACAUUAGCAGGCUGACCGUAAUAUCCUUGUAGAUGAACAGGAGCAAUCCCCAGAAAUUUCUUCUCCUGCACCAGGACAUUAGCAGGCUGACCUUAGCUAUCUUGUGGAUGCACAGAUUGAGAAAGAGGAGCAGAGUUGCCAUGCCCACUCUGGGCACAGCCCAGUCCAGGAAGCUCCACAGCCAGGUAUCUGGAACAUCUACAUCAGAGCAUUAUUAGGGUGUGGAGAAGGGAUGUUUGCGACGAAGAUCCUAUGGCAAGGACUUUUGGACAGGAGACUGACACCAUCUGAAUAAUGUUUGAUAGUUAACACCAGGGGAGUCGUGAAGAAAGGUAAAGCUAAGGAAGUAAGGCCAGGCAAGGAAACACAAGUCCAGUGAGGUUGGGCCAAGUGAUGAAGAACAUGUGUAGGGAACGGGGAACGGGAGGUUAUCAAGACCUCUGCCGUGGGUCCUGGCCUGUGAGCUACCACAGCACAAGGCGAACUAAAGAGCAGACAGAAACAAGACUUAAGAGUGAUGAGGCUGGGUCUUGGGACCUGGUCAGUGCUGCUGAUGGCUGUUACACCCAGUGAGAGAGAACCAACCAGAGACCGAUAUUAAAUCCACACAGGAGUUUAUUACCUGCCGGGACCUGAGGCAAGCAUCGGACUUGAGCCUCCACUGGGGGUUGACAGACAUGUUUUAUACACCUUUGAGGCCAGCAGUUUCUAGGCCCCCCAUGGGAUAGAACUAGUAAAGCAAGC